CUCUGAAGAGAGAGUCAAAAGAUCGUGAAACCGCUCAGAGUAUAAGCCAAUGGAGCUUGGAAGGUUUCCGCAUAUCCCAGGCACCAUAAAUGAGGUGUUCUGCAUGCACUUAAGCAAGGUUCAUCAGGCGGAGCAUUGAGUUUGCCGCUUAGCUGACGUACGGGUUAUCGGUGUGGGGCCCGUUCUUUGGACCGAGGGUCACAGCCGGUAACUUGAGAAUGGGUGUUCAGAGCUUUUGUUGCAACUGCGGUAAUUGCCCACCACGGCACGUUGUGAGGUCACCUUGGGCUCAACUGCCGAUCGUAUCCCCGGGACGAUGGCAAGGGCGUAGUAGAGAGUUCUCACGGGCUCUCCUUCGCAUGUCUAGUUACUGGGAGGCGGCGACCGAGAUUAAACCUGGUAUGAUCCUCCCGCGACGAGUCGCUGUCUGGCCAGACCCACGUCUACAGCCUACCCUGUGCCGGUAACGUUGUGUCCCCAGGCGGUUGGUCCUGAUUAAUAGUUCAGGAUCUCCCUGCCGGGCGUGGUUGUCUGAGUGGUGUAAAAUCCAGCACCAUCGGUCACGUCUCGAAACACGGGCCAAGGAGUAUAGCAUGUGUGCAAGUCUAAGGGUAUCCCAAAACCCGGAGGCGAAGUGAAAGCGAGACCGAGGCGGGUGAGCUACGGCGAACCCGUCGGUUCGGGGCGACUAAUCGUUGCCCCCGCUUAUGUCAGAGCUGAUCCUGUUAUUACGGGUAAGUCCUUGUGCAGGCGCAAGCUCCGGGCUCACGUAUAACACUGGCAACGCCUCGUGCGUACGCUGUGUUGUGAGCACC
Molecule: ribosomal RNA, 815 nt
Filed under: Niphargus kieferi
Lineage: Eukaryota; Metazoa; Arthropoda; Malacostraca; Amphipoda; Niphargidae
Description: partial 28S ribosomal RNA
Rfam family: Eukaryotic large subunit ribosomal RNA
Source: RNAcentral